ACAGUCCAAUCAUAAUUCUCCCAAGUGUCAGGUGUGAGAUAACUUCGAAAGGUAUCACCAAGAUGGAAUGUCGGUACCUUUGGCCUUGGCGGAAACCCUCCUCCGCAUGCGCAGUAAGACGGGCAGUAGAAACUCCAGAAACUUCCUCCAGCACAAUUAGCAGUCCCCUCCCAAAUACCAUGCCCUCCCUCCCCGUUUCAAUGGCAGCCGCAGCAGCAGCAAAGCAGAGCCUGACAGGUUUUGAUCUCCACUGAGAAUCACCCCUAAGAAAGCUGAAGUGUAAUUCUAGAAAACCUUCAUGAACUUUUAGGGCUUGGCACAUAGCUAAUCUUCGUAAGCUGAGCAGCAUCCCAUUUUAAGGCUAAGUUAUGAAGAUCAGUUGCUGGAAGUAAAAACCACUUGAUAGCAUUUAAUCAGUGGAAACCUUUUGCAAACGCCUUAGGUAGAAACUGAAGAAGGGUGUUUUUCUGCCUCCUAUCUGGAGAUGGUGCUCAAACAGGGAACACCUGUGCCUAGAAAGCGGAUAAUACCUGUGGUUGAGCUUAAAGGAGUUAAAACCAUCGAGUACUGAAUUGCUAGAAAGGUUGGAAAGCGACUGGAAAAGUAGAAGAAAGAAAGUCCAGAUGCCUUUUGAAAAAAGCACCUUUGGGAACAGCUGAACUUCCUCUUCCGGAUCACUCAUGGGAGGAGAGUGGUGUGCAGAGUGGCUUUUGUGCUCUUCCCAUGGUCGAAGCAGCAGCUGGAAGACAAAAAGGAUGGCGAUGAACACUCUGGACAACUGAAAAUAACAAGCAACCUUGACAAAGGAAGAAAAUCAAGCCAGAAAUCAGAAUAUUUUCCAUUCCGUCAGAAAACCAUACAAUUCUGAUCCUCCUCCAGCAGCUGAUAGCCAAAAGAAGGAAUAAGAAGAUUAUGCAGAACUCAGGGAUACAAUACAUGAAAAACUGAAGGGAGAAACCUUAUGAAUAUUCAGAUUGUGGGAAAGGCUUCAUUAAAAAUUCCCAUCUC
Thamnophis elegans (Western terrestrial garter snake) is the source of this 1008-nucleotide long non-coding RNA. RefSeq lists it as uncharacterized. Lineage: Eukaryota; Metazoa; Chordata; Lepidosauria; Squamata; Natricidae. The record is from RefSeq and is a predicted model, not a curated record. The transcript has 2 exons.